Molecule: ribosomal RNA, 397 nt
Filed under: uncultured bacterium
Lineage: Bacteria
Description: bacterial SSU rRNA
Rfam family: Bacterial small subunit ribosomal RNA
Source: RNAcentral
AUUGAACGCUGGCGGCAUGCCUUACACAUGCAAGUCGAACGGUAACGGGCCUUCGGGUGCCGACGAGUGGCGAACGGGUGAGUAAUGCAUCGGAACGUACCUUUCAGUGGGGGAUAACGUAGCGAAAGUUACGCUAAUACCGCAUAUUCUGUGAGCAGGAAAGCAGGGGAUCGCAAGACCUUGCGCUGAUUGAGCGGCCGAUGUCAGAUUAGCUAGUUGGUGAGGUAAAGGCUCACCAAGGCGACGAUCUGUAGCGGGUCUGAGAGGAUGAUCCGCCACACUGGAACUGAGACACGGUCCAGACUCCUACGGGAGGCAGCAGUGGGGAAUUUUGGACAAUGGGGGGCAACCCUGAUCCAGCCAUGCCGCGUGAGUGAAGAAGGCCUUCGGGUUGGUU